CCUACGGGGGGAUGCAGUGAGGAAUAUUGGUCAAUGGCCGGAAGGCUGAACCAGCCAAGCCGCGUGAAGGACGAAGGUGCCAAGCAUUGUAAACUUCUUUUGUCAAGGGACAAAAUCAGGCUCGAGAGCCUGACCGAGGGUACUUGAAGAAAAAGCAUCGGCUAACUCCGUGCCAGAAGCCGCGGUAAUACGGAGGAUGCGAGCGGUAUCAGGAUUUAGUGGGUUUAAAGGGUGCGUAGGCGGGCUGUUAAGGCAGCGGUAAAAGCCCGGGGCUCAACCCCGGCGAGCCGUUGAAACUGGCUGUCUUGAGAUGUCGAGAGGUAUGCGGAAUGCGCAUUGUAGCGGUGAAAUGCUUAGAUAUUGCGCAGAACUCCGAUUGCGAAGGCAGCAUACCGGCGUCGAUCUGACGCUGAGGCACGAAAUCGUGGGUAUCGAACAGGAUUAGAUACCCUAGUAGUC
This 459-nucleotide ribosomal RNA is filed under the name uncultured bacterium. RNAcentral's name for it is "partial 16S ribosomal RNA". It matches the Rfam family "Bacterial small subunit ribosomal RNA", at positions 338 to 795 of the family's 1533-position model. The record is from RNAcentral.